GAAGCUUCGAUCCUGUGUUCCGAGAUGCACAGCCUACCAGUCUUGUCUGCAUCAUGUGCAUCAUAGCAUGUUUAUUUUCAAAAGAUACGCAAUGAAAAAAUUGAAAAGAAAAAGAAAAAAGAAAAAACUAAUCCCUGCAUGCAUAUCAUUUCUCAGGUACAUUCCAGAGUCUAUUCACUGAUAGAGAUGGCAACAGUCCCAGAGCCGAAGCG
Molecule: long non-coding RNA, 212 nt
Filed under: Lathyrus oleraceus (garden pea)
Lineage: Eukaryota; Viridiplantae; Streptophyta; Magnoliopsida; Fabales; Fabaceae
Description: Pisum sativum (pea) long non-coding RNA (PSAT_LNC021264)
Source: RNAcentral